CAAUAGCGUAUAUUAAAGUUGUUGCAGUUAAAAAGCUCGUAGUUGGAUUUCUGGCAGGAGCGACCGGUCGCACGCCAUGCGUGUGAACUUGUGUUGUCUCUGGCCAUCCUUGGGGAGAUCCCGUUUGGCAUUAAGUUGUCGGGCGGGGGAUACCCAUCGUUUACUGUGAAAAAAUUAGAGUGUUUAAAGCAGGCUUAUGCCGUUGAAUACAUUAGCAUGGAAUAAUAAGAUAGGACCGCGUGGUCGUCUUGUUGGUUUGCACCGCGAGGUAAUGAUUAAUAGGUACAGUUGGGGGUAUUCGUAUUAAUUGUCAGAGGUGAAAUUCUUGGAUUAACGGAAGAUGAACUACUGCGAAAGCAUCUGCCAAGGAUGUUUUCAUUGAUCAAGAACGAAAGUUAGGGGAUCGAAGACGAUCAGAUACCAU
Molecule: ribosomal RNA, 424 nt
Filed under: uncultured eukaryote
Lineage: Eukaryota
Description: bacterial SSU rRNA
Rfam family: Eukaryotic small subunit ribosomal RNA
Source: RNAcentral